Molecule: ribosomal RNA, 468 nt
Filed under: uncultured bacterium
Lineage: Bacteria
Description: partial 16S ribosomal RNA
Rfam family: Bacterial small subunit ribosomal RNA
Source: RNAcentral
GACGAACGCUGGCGGCGUGCUUAACACAUGCAAGUCGAACGGAAAGGCCCUGCUUUUGUGGGGUGCUCGAGUGGCGAACGGGUGAGUAACACGUGAGUAACCUGCCCUUGACUUUGGGAUAACUUCAGGAAACUGGGGCUAAUACCGGAUAGGAGCUCCUGCUGCAUGGUGGGGGUUGGAAAGUUUCGGCGGUUGGGGAUGGACUCGCGGCUUAUCAGCUUGUUGGUGGGGUAGUGGCUUACCAAGGCUUUGACGGGUAGCCGGCCUGAGAGGGUGACCGGCCACAAUGGGAAUGAGAUACCGCCCAGACUCCUACGGGAGGCAGCAGUGGGGAAUAUUGCACAAUGGGCGGAAGCCUGAUGCAGCAACGCCGCGUGCGGGAUGACGGCCUUCGGGUUGUAAACCGCUUUCGCCUGUGACGAAGCGUGAGUGACGGUAAUGGGUAAAGAAGCACCGGCUAACUACGUG